CCCUUAGAUGUUCUGGGCCGCACGCGCGCUACACUGACGAAUGCAACGAGCUUAUAACCUUGGCCGAAAGGUCUGGGUAAUCUCCAAAUUUCGUCGUGAUGGGGAUAGAUUAUUGCAAUUAUUAAUCUUCAACGAGGAAUGCCUAGUAAGCGCAAGUCAUCAGCUUGCGUUGAUUACGUCCCUGCCCUUUGUACACACCGCCCGUCGCUCCUACCGAUUGAAUGGUCCGGUGAAGCGUUCGGACCGUGGCCUUUGGACGGUUCGCCGUCUGUUGGCUGCGGGAAGUUCGUUAAACCUUAUCAUUUAGAGGAAGGAGAAGUCGUCACA
This 327-nucleotide ribosomal RNA is filed under the name uncultured eukaryote. Its description in RNAcentral is "partial 18S ribosomal RNA". It matches the Rfam family "Eukaryotic small subunit ribosomal RNA", at positions 1470 to 1796 of the family's 1831-position model. The record is from RNAcentral.